UUGGUUUUGUAAUUGGAAUGAGUUAAGUAUAAACCCCUUUACAAGUAUCAAUUGGAGGGCAAGUCUGGUGCCAGCAGCCGCGGUAAUUCCAGCUCCAAUAGCGUAUAUUAAAGUUGUUGCAGUUAAAAAGCUCGUAGUUGGAUUUCUGUUAAUAAUUUAUAUAAAAUAUUUUGAUGAAUAUUUAUAUAAUAUUAACAUAAUUCAUAUUACUAUUUUUUUUUUUAUAUUAAAAAUUUUUUUUUGAAAAAAAUAAAGCUUAUAAAAGGCAUAUUCCUCCUUUACUCCCCCAUGGGGUAAUAUUAAAAAAAUUUUUUUUUUUUUUUGUUUCUUUUAAAAAAAAAAUGAUUAAUA
RNAcentral lists this ribosomal RNA (351 nucleotides) under Cryptosporidium hominis. Its description in RNAcentral is "partial 18S ribosomal RNA". It matches the Rfam family "Eukaryotic small subunit ribosomal RNA", at positions 497 to 874 of the family's 1831-position model. Lineage: Eukaryota; Apicomplexa; Conoidasida; Eucoccidiorida; Cryptosporidiidae. The record is from RNAcentral.